GAUGACGGCCUUCGGGUUGUAAAGCUCUGUCUUCAGGGACGAUAAUGACGGUACCUGAGGAGGAAGCCACGGCUAACUACGUGCCAGCAGCCGCGGUAAUACGUAGGUGGCGAGCGUUAUCCGGAUUUACUGGGCGUAAAGGAUGCGUAGGUGGAAUUUUAAGUGGGAUGUGAAAUACCGGGCUCAACCUGGGAACUGCAUUCCAAACUGGAAUUCUAGAGUGCAGGAGAGGAAAGCGGAAUUCCUAGUGUAGCGGUGAAAUGCGUAGAGAUUAGGAAGAACACCAGUGGCGAAGGCGGCUUUCUGGACUGUAACUGACACUGAGGCAUGAAAGCGUGGGGAGCAAACAGGAUUAGAUACCCUGGNUAGUC
This 371-nucleotide ribosomal RNA is filed under the name uncultured Clostridium sp. Its description in RNAcentral is "bacterial SSU rRNA". It matches the Rfam family "Bacterial small subunit ribosomal RNA", at positions 407 to 795 of the family's 1533-position model. Lineage: Bacteria; Bacillati; Bacillota; Clostridia; Eubacteriales; Clostridiaceae. The record is from RNAcentral.